ACGUUCGCGGCGGACGGGUGAGUAACACGUGGGCAACCUACCCUAUAGUUUGGGAUAACUCCGGGAAACCGGGGCUAAUACCGAAUAAUCUCUUUUACUUCAUGGUGAAAGACUGAAAGACGGCAUCUCGCUGUCGCUAUAGGAUGGGCCCGCGGCGCAUUAGCUAGUUGGUGAGGUAACGGCUCACCAAGGCGACGAUGCGUAGCCGACCUGAGAGGGUGAUCGGCCACACUGGGACUGCCUGAUGGAGCAACGCCGCGUGAGUGAAGAAGGUUUUCGGAUCGUAAAACUCUGUUGUAAGGGAAGAACAAGUACAGUAGUAACUGGCUGUACCUUGACGGUACCUUAUUAGAAAGCCACGGCUAACUACGUGCCAGCAGCCGCGGUAAUACGUAGGUGGCAAGCGUUGUCCGGAAUUAUUGGGCGUAAAGCGCGCGCAGGCGGUCCUUUAAGUCUGAUGUGAAAGCCCACGGCUCAACCGUGGAGGGUCAUUGGAAACUGGGGGACUUGAGUGCAGAAGAGGAAAGUGGAAUUCCAAGUGUAGCGGUGAAAUGCGUAGAGAUUUGGAGGAACACCAGUGGCGAAGGCGACUUUCUGGUCUGUAACUGACGCUGAGGCGCGAAAGCGUGGGGAGCAAACAGGAUUAGAUACCCUGGUAGUCCACCCCGUAAACGAUGAGUGUUAAGUGUUAGGGGGUUUCCCCCCUUUAGUGCUGCAGUUAACGCAUUAAGCUCUCCCCCUGGGGAGUACGGUCGCAAGACUAAAACUCAAAGGAAUUGAGGGGGGCCCGCACAAGCGGUGGAGCAUGUGGUUUAAUUGGAAGCAACGCGAAGAACCUUACCAGGUCUUGACAUCCCGUUGACCACUGUAGAGAUAUAGUUUCCCCUUCGGGGGCAACGGUGACAGGUGGUGCAUGGUUGUCGUCAGCUCGUGUCGUGAGAUGUUGGGUUAAGUCCCGCAACGAGCGCAACCCUUGAUCUUAGUUGCCAUCAUUUAGUUGGGCACUCUAAGGUGACUGCCGGUGACAAACCGGAGGAAGGUGGGGAUGACGUCAAAUCAUCAUGCCCCUUAUGACCUGGGCUACACACGUGCUACAAUGGACGAUACAAACGGUUGCCAACUCGCGAGAGGGAGCUAAUCCGAUAAAGUCGUUCUCAGUUCGGAUUGUAGGCUGCAACUCGCCUACAUGAAGCCGGAAUCGCUAGUAAUCGCGGAUCAGCAUGCCGCGGUGAAUACGUUCCCGGGCCUUGUACACACCGCCCGUCACACCACGAGAGUUUGU
RNAcentral lists this ribosomal RNA (1282 nucleotides) under Lysinibacillus fusiformis. Its description in RNAcentral is "bacterial SSU rRNA". It matches the Rfam family "Bacterial small subunit ribosomal RNA", at positions 89 to 1415 of the family's 1533-position model. Lineage: Bacteria; Bacillati; Bacillota; Bacilli; Caryophanales; Bacillaceae. The record is from RNAcentral.